This 289-nucleotide long non-coding RNA is filed under the name Mytilus galloprovincialis (Mediterranean mussel). Lineage: Eukaryota; Metazoa; Mollusca; Bivalvia; Mytilida; Mytilidae. The record is from RNAcentral.
UCCUACAAUGACAAAAGAAAUUACAUUGUGUACAUUCCGUCUCUAUACAUGUUGUCUGUUCAACAUCCCGACCUAAAGAGAAAUAAAAAGACUCCAAGUUUUCGUUAUUAUAAACCCAAGUCACGUGAUGUCUCCUCAAUCUGGCGCGCGCGCUGGACCUGAAAUAAAAUAAAAACUUUCCGAACUAAACAUGAAACUUUCCCGGAAUAAUAUAGACCCCUUACAGAAACAAACAAACGGCAAACAAACAAACACACACACACACAUAACAAACAAUCAUGUUUCUAAG